Molecule: transfer-messenger RNA, 236 nt
Filed under: Pseudomonas chlororaphis
Lineage: Bacteria; Pseudomonadati; Pseudomonadota; Gammaproteobacteria; Pseudomonadales; Pseudomonadaceae
Description: partial transfer-messenger RNA
Rfam family: transfer-messenger RNA
About the family: Bacterial tmRNA, also known as 10Sa RNA or SsrA, is named for its dual tRNA and mRNA-like properties.
Source: RNAcentral
CUGGUACCUUCGGGUCCAGCAAUCAUCAGGGGAUGUCUGUAAACCCGAAAUGAUUGUCAUACAGAACAGAAUCGCCGUGCAGUACGUUGUGGACGAAGCGGCUAAAACUUACACAACUCGCCCAAAGCACCCUGCCCGUCGGGUCGCUGAGGGUUAACUCAAUAGACACGGCUACGCAUGUAGUACCGACAGCGGAGUACUGGCGGACGGGGGUUCAAAUCCCCCCGGCUCCACCA